UGACCCUUCUUAAGCCGAGGGUCACCUAGCCAACUGACGUUGUUAGUGAAUACAAAUUGUUCACACCAUAUGUAAGCCAUCUAUGAACUUGUAGGUGGCUAUUUUUUU
Vibrio caribbeanicus ATCC BAA-2122 is the source of this 108-nucleotide non-coding RNA. NCBI's taxonomy places the organism in Bacteria, Pseudomonadati, Pseudomonadota, Gammaproteobacteria, Vibrionales, Vibrionaceae. The record is from Rfam.